RNAcentral lists this ribosomal RNA (452 nucleotides) under Micrevania difficilis. RNAcentral describes it as "eukaryotic LSU rRNA". Lineage: Eukaryota; Metazoa; Arthropoda; Insecta; Hymenoptera; Evaniidae. The record is from RNAcentral.
CCUGAGAAACCCGAAAGAUCGAAUGGGGAGAUUCACCGUCAGCGACGUCGGCUUCACGGUGGUUCGCGAUGCGCGGCGCCCUUACGGGCGACGUCGCACGCGGCCGACGUGUUUUAUGUCCGGCGGCGUCGUCGUGCACUUCUCCCCUAGUAGGACGUCGCGACCCGUUGGGUGUCGGUCUACGGCCUGGGUCGUCGCCUGUCCCGUCGCUUCGGCGUUGCGGGGCAGACACCCUGUAGCCCGGCCGGCUGCCCGGCGGUACUCGCACGGUAUCUGGUCGCAAUCGAACUGCGUCUUAGGCCCGCCGCAAGCGCGGUCAGUGUAUACCCGGAGGUACGGACCUAGCGCCGUCCCCGGGCCUGACCCGCUGUUCGCCUGGCGGUGUCCUCUGACAGGCCACGUUUUUCUCAAUGAUACCGGUCGGCGACGCUACUGCUUUGGGUACUUUCAGG